GUCGGUGUCGUCUAGCGGUUAGGACGUGAGUUUAACACGCUCAAGAUCGAGGGCUCGAUCCCCUCCUCCGAUA
Molecule: transfer RNA, 73 nt
Filed under: Phytophthora infestans T30-4
Lineage: Eukaryota; Oomycota; Peronosporomycetes; Peronosporales; Peronosporaceae
Description: tRNA-Val for anticodon UAC
Rfam family: tRNA
About the family: Transfer RNA (tRNA) molecules are approximately 80 nucleotides in length. Their secondary structure includes four short double-helical elements and three loops (D, anti-codon, and T loops). Further hydrogen bonds mediate the characteristic L-shaped molecular structure. tRNAs have two regions of fundamental functional importance: the anti-codon, which is responsible for specific mRNA codon recognition, and the 3' end, to which the tRNAs corresponding amino acid is attached (by aminoacyl-tRNA synthetases). tRNAs cope with the degeneracy of the genetic code in two manners: having more than one tRNA (with a specific anti-codon) for a particular amino acid; and 'wobble' base-pairing, i.e. permitting non-standard base-pairing at the 3rd anti-codon position.
Source: Rfam by way of RNAcentral